GACUUUCUUUUCCAUUUUUUGCAGGUAUAUCCAGAGCACAUGUGCCACCUCUGGGGAAGGACUUUACGAGGGACUGGACUGGCUGUCAAACAACAUUGCCAACAAGGUAGGAUCUUUGUGAUUGCCCAGCACAAGCCGAUCAUGCUGGCUUAUAUUUCAUUCACAUAAUGCUAAUAGUACAUUCUUGUGAUUCUUUUUGUUAUAACAGGCAUAAAAGAGACUAUAUUGGAUGAUUAUGAUAGCCUAAUUCUCAUCAAAGAGGAAAUUGUCUUUCAUUUUUCAGGCUUUUGUGUCUCACUAUCUUGAAAACUCAGUACUUUAAUCUCUUUAUUUUUUCCGUAGAAAUUUGUCAUUUCUGUCGUGUAGAUUUAUAUUCGAAAUUCUGUAAUUUCAGCAUUCUUGAA
RNAcentral lists this long non-coding RNA (404 nucleotides) under Olea europaea subsp. europaea. The record is from RNAcentral. Lineage: Eukaryota; Viridiplantae; Streptophyta; Magnoliopsida; Lamiales; Oleaceae.